RNAcentral lists this long non-coding RNA (1984 nucleotides) under Citrus x clementina. Its description in RNAcentral is "Citrus clementina (C. clementina) long non-coding RNA (CCLE_LNC005192)". Lineage: Eukaryota; Viridiplantae; Streptophyta; Magnoliopsida; Sapindales; Rutaceae. The record is from RNAcentral.
AAGUUUUGCUGUAAAGACUAACUUUGGACUAAAUUUGAAUCAAAGAUGGCUGGAUAUGGAGAGUGCAAUAUUUUAGAAACGCAUCUUCUUAAUAUUAGAGUUUUAUUAAAAAUAAUGUAACAUUUUCUUGUUUUUUGUCAUCUCUUUUUAAGCUUCUGCAUCGAAUUCAGGUGAGAUCUCCCCCUCUUCUUCUUUUAUUAUUUUUUCUUUCUCUUUUAUUAUUUAUUUCAUUUUUUUAUGCAUAUCUAUAAAAUUAUAAAAUGUUAUGAUAAUGUUUAGAUUAGGUUGGGCGUGGGGAUAGUUGACGUGUGUUUCUAAAUAUUUGUGUUUGUUUUUCUCUUUUUUCUUUUAAAAAACAAAAAAAAACAUUUUUUUUUGUCUAGGAUGGUUGUAUAAAGAGUCACGAUUUUGAAAUGCAUCCUAAUAGUCUUGUUGUAUUAUAUUUUAAUUUUGAAAUUCAUAGUAAGUUGUUUUUGUUCCCUUUUCUUUGAAUUACUCAAAUUUGAGAACUCUCCAAUUGGUUAUUAAGUCAUUUAAUUGUUUACUCAUUUAACAGGUAUUAUUGAAUCAUUCUUCACACAUACACUAUGACACAUACUAGUGGGUUAUAAGUUAAAAUUUUUGCAGCAUUUAGUUCUUUUUAUUUAUUAGGGAUAAUAUCUAAGAUAGUAAAAAGUGUAUAUUGCAAAUAUAUAAUUAUGUUUAAUUUUGAUAUAUCUAGAACCUGAGUAAUUAAGUUUGUAGGGGUGUUUCAACAUCUAGUGCCCUAAGGCCAACUGGUCUGGGAGUCACUGGCUUAAAGCUCGCUACAUGGGUUAUAGAUAUAUUGUUUGCUUAUUUAUUAGAAACCUAAGUAAUUAAAUCUGUAAGGGUGUUUCAACACUUAGUACCCUAAGGCCAACUGGUCUGUGAGUCACUGGCUUAAAGCUCACUACAUGGGUUAAAAAUGUAAUGUUUUAAAAUUUAUGUGAAUAAUCUACUGCCUAAAGAUAGAAUUUCUAAAGAAUUUUGAAACGAAAGUGUUGUUUUUCUUUUAAUGAAACCCCAAAAGUAUUGUGUUAAUUACUUGAGUACAAAAGAAUGUUUGAUGAUAUUCUAAAUAAUGAGUAAACGACAAAAAGGUAAAUAAAUCUGAGAGAGUUUAUUUAUUUGGUAGUUUAGAGAAUAGACGAACAAUUAUUAACUUGCAUGUGAUUUUUGUAAAUCUUAAUUUAAUAUAGCACUUUUAUUUCUAAGGACUAGCAAUAAGCUGGUUUGGGGGUGUGAUUAGUAUUGAAAAUUAUUUGAUUAUCAAGCGAUAAAAAUAUUAUUUUGUGCUUAUAUUAUAAUUUAUAUUUGUAUUUAUGCAAUAUAUUAGGGAUUAUUAAUUAUGAUUUAACUAUAUCUAAUUUUGUGUUUUUUUGUGUGUUUAUUAGGUAAAAUAUUAAUUUCACGUAAUUCAAGGCUCUAAACAAAUAAACGGAUGUCAAAUUUGAAUUUCAGAGGUCUGAAAACCUUAUGAUGAGUCAAGAUCGGGCACUGAUUAUAUGAUAAAAUGAACUUACAAUGAAUAUGAGUGCAUUGGAUCGCUAGCAAUUUUGAUUAAAUCUCAACCAUUCAUGAUUCAAUGGCCACAAUCGUGCUCCGUGGCAAUGGUUGGUGAAGCAAGUUGUAGGAUCCGAAUCUUUGUAUUCAAAUUGACUCGAUCCACCCAUUAACUCGCCAAAUCUCAAUCAUUCUUCGACCGAAUCGGACGCUUCACAAGAUACCACAUGUAAUGUUGACUUGUGAAGUUUUACCAGCAUUUGGAUCUUGAUCUAAUGAUUGUGAGAAGCGCAUGCAUAAAGCUUAUGAUGGACCACAAAACACUAGAUUAUGAAUUUAUUUUUCUAUAAAUAGAACCUCAUUUUUAUGUUUUUGGACAUCUUUCUUCUUCUCAAUUUCUCUCAAUUUCCCUGUAAUUUUAUUUUUCAGGUAUGUUUUCAUAUUUUGUAUAAUUAUUUUU